CUCUCCAGAAGAAUGCAUUACUUCACUCUAUUCAGACUUUAGGGUGAUGUUUAAUAUUGAACUGCUACAAGGUCCUUGUCCUGGUUCUGACAUUCUCCAUUUGAACGUCUGCCCUAUCAACUUUCGAUUGUACUGUCUGUGCCUACCAUGGUGACCACGGGUGACGGGGAAUCAGGGUUCGAUUCCGGAGAGGGAGCCUGAGAAACGGCUACCACAUCCAAGGAAGGCAGCAGGCGCACAAAUUACCCCAUCCCGCCGGGGGAGGGGUGAGCGAG
Non-coding RNA from Balearica pavonina (black crowned-crane), 275 nucleotides. The record is from Rfam. Lineage: Eukaryota; Metazoa; Chordata; Aves; Gruiformes; Gruidae.